AAAAUGAGAGUUUGAUCCUGGCUCAGGAUAAACGCUGGCGGCAUGCCUAAUACAUGCAAGUCGAACGGAGGUGCUUGCACCUCAGUGGCGAACGGGUGAGUAACACGUAUCUAACCUACCUCAUAGCGGGGGAUAACUUUUGGAAACGAAAGAUAAUACCGCAUGUAGAUCUUAUUAUCGCAUGAGAAAAGAUCAAAAGAACCGUUUGGUUCACUAUGAGAUGGGGAUGCGGCGUAUUAGCUAGUAGGUGAGAUAAUAGCCCACCUAGGCGAUGAUACGUAGCCGAACUGAGAGGUUGAUCGGCCACAUUGGGACUGAGAUACGGCCCAGACUCCUACGGGAGGCAGCAGUAGGGAAUUUUUCACAAUGGACGAAAGUCUGAUGAAGCAAUGCCGCGUGAGUGAUGACGGCCUUCGGGUUGUAAAUCUCUGUUGUAAGGGAAGAAAAAAUAAAGUAGGAAAUGACUUUAUCUUGACAGUACCUUACCAGAAAGCCACGGCUAACUAUGUGCCAGCAGCCGCGGUAAUACAUAGGUGGCAAGCGUUAUCCGGAUUUAUUGGGCGUAUAGGGUGCGUAGGCGGUUUUGCAAGUUUGAGGUUAAAGUCCGGAGCUCAACUCCGGUUCGCCUUGAAAACUGUAUUACUAGAAUGCAAGAGAGGUAAGCGGAAUUCCAUGUGUAGCGGUGAAAUGCGUAGAUAUAUGGAAGAACACCUGUGGCGAAAGCGGCUUACUGGCUUGUUAUUGACGCUGAGGCACGAAAGCGUGGGGAGCAAAUAGGAUUAGAUACCCUAGUAGUCCACGCCGUAAACGAUGAGUACUAAGUGUUGGGGAAACUCAGCGCUGCAGCUAACGCAUUAAGUACUCCGCCUGAGUAGUAUGCUCGCAAGAGUGAAACUCAAAGGAAUUGACGGGGACCCGCACAAGUGGUGGAGCAUGUGGUUUAAUUCGAAGCAACACGAAGAACCUUACCAGGGCUUGACAUCCAGUGCAAAGCUAUAGAGAUAUAGUAGAGGUUAACAUUGAGACAGGUGGUGCAUGGUUGUCGUCAGUUCGUGCCGUAA
RNAcentral lists this ribosomal RNA (1061 nucleotides) under Mycoplasma mycoides subsp. mycoides. Its description in RNAcentral is "bacterial SSU rRNA". It matches the Rfam family "Bacterial small subunit ribosomal RNA", at positions 1 to 1070 of the family's 1533-position model. Lineage: Bacteria; Bacillati; Mycoplasmatota; Mollicutes; Mycoplasmatales; Mycoplasmataceae. The record is from RNAcentral.